Molecule: long non-coding RNA, 1266 nt
Filed under: Numida meleagris (helmeted guineafowl)
Lineage: Eukaryota; Metazoa; Chordata; Aves; Galliformes; Numididae
Description: lncRNA (ENSNMEG00000023182.1)
Source: RNAcentral
GAAUCUUCUGAAAUGUCUGCCGAAUGCCUGACACUGAAGUGAUAUAAGACCUGCAUUAGAAGAGCUUCAUCUGAGUGUAAUAUGCUGCCCUGGGAGGGUGAGUGCUCAAUGAGACCCGGCAUACAGCAUCAACAGCACCUUUUUGGCUCAAUCAUAAGCAUUCAUGCUUGAAGAGGCUGAGUAUGCAAAUGUCAUUGGAAAAAGAAGAGAGACAAGAAACACUGAAGACAACCAUGAGAUACUAAGAACGAGUUAAAAGAGAUAAAAGCGUGCAAAUGCCAAACAGAAGCUGAAAUAUUGAAGGAUUCUGAAGGAUUAAGGUCUUCAUGUGUGGUGCAAACAUUUGAAGCAAAUGCAACAGAAUUGCCCCGAGUCUGCUCAAGAGCCCAUCGCUGCUUCCUAUGUGGUCACACUACAAAGUCAAACUAAUAAUAAUGUAUGGUUGGUUACCCUUCUGAAAAUAACUGCAAGUAUUGAGUGCUGUCAUCAUGGAGAACCCAGACCUCCUGAAGUAAGAGGGAAAAUUGAAUUGACUCGCAGGAGGCCAGAAUGCCACCCACAGAGGUGCUUGAUUGCCAGAAAAUGCUGAGUUCCUGCUACCUGGAAUCAUUGGUGUCUGAUAUCCAGCAUCGUACUGAAAGGGGCAGAGGAACAUGCAGAGAAUAAGUCUCAGAGGAAAGAAAGACUUUAUGUGAACAAAUAAUUCCAUAGGUAGCAUUGCUCAAUUUGAACACAAUUAUGAUCUGGCUCAUCCUGCAGAAGACUCUCAGUAGGGGAUGACAUACGUUGCAUAAUGGGAAAGCCUGCCUAUGGAAAAGGUGACAUGCUCCUUUCAGCUCCCCUGCUGUUGAUGCGUGGUGUUGUUAAAGAAAAGGGUUUUUUUUCCAUUAUUGUUCUUUGCUGGCAGACAAAACUAAUGGUCAGACCUGAAACAGUGAGUGCUUAAGUACAAAAUGUGACAAUCAAGCAAAAGAAGACUGCAGAAAAAAGGUAGAGGAGAAUGUAUUGUGUGGCUGAACAUAGCCAAUGGAAUGGCCAGACUGAAGUCGAGCCUGGGCAGGGCUGCAAGGUAAAAGUACUGAAAUGGCAAAAAUCUUAUGCUGUGUAGAUCAGACUCUCCUGCAUUCAUCCAGGAUGACUGGAAACAGAAAGACCAUUAUUGCAGUCUCAGGUCUAUGGGAAUGGCAUUAAGAAAGUGUCAUAUAUUCUUUAAAUUAUGCCCUGCUUGCAAAAUCCCCUACUCUUUGAAGACUUCUAGAAGAAAAG